AAAGGACCCUGUGCAGCAGGCCACUAUUUGAAUGUGUGUUGCUCCUUGUGGCAGGUAUACUGUUCCAAUGCCCUGGGAUCUCUGUAGUGGUCGGUACUGUAUUGAUUAUAAAUGGUGAAGUCCUAGUAUCUUGCUAGAGUGAGCUGGCCAGGAUGGUGGAGCUCUACCACCAUUUCACAGGUUAUAGACAGGGGCCACCAGGUUUCAGGAAAGCAGCAAUGACCCCUCAGUAAUAGUUGGAAAGUGUGAUAUGACACUGAGCUUCACUGUGUUGGUGAAGAAGAGGUGAGGAAAAUAAAAGCUGCAGUUUGCCUCCACCUCUGAAGAAGCACAAUACACCUUUCUGGGUUACCAAUGGGAUACUUCCCAACAGCUUUGUCAUCACAUACAAUAUUCUCAAACAAGAUCUUAAUGGCAUCUACUUUCUCCAGGAACACAGCCCCUGACCUGUGUGUGUUUGCGUAGAGAAGGCAUGCUAUGUACCCCCUAGGAUAUCAAGAUUCCUGUAGCAGAUUGAGCUCUGGCAGUUGAUCUCAGUGGCUUGAUAGAGUGUCAUUAUAAAAACGCACCUGGAAGAUUCUGUGGAAAAGACAACCUCAGAAGACCAAGAGGCUGACUUUGCAAGAGAGAGUCCGUUUACCACUUAGAACCGUGAACACCACCCCCGCCCUCAUUUAUCUCCAGACUUGAACUAGUGGUUAAAUCCCAACAUGUCCCAGAGAAGUCAAAAGCAUUGUAAAAUCUGGGAAUCUGCCCACCACUCAAGCCUGGGAAAGCUGGCAGAGGAUGCACGUGUUUUACUCACCUGAGUGUUUACAAUGCUCGUGAGGUGCCUCCCUGAUAGAUAGAUUGACGGUGUCUAAAAAUUUCAAAGGAUACAGAAGGACAUCAACACCAGAACUGAAUUUUCACACUGGGAACAGCUUAUUCUAUGGAACUGUACUGUUAGCACAGAAUGCAUUGGCCAAAUAUCUCUCUGAGGGGAGAGUGAGUGUUUUAAAUCACACACAGGGUGAUAAUAUGAAUGUGGAUGAUAUUAGAAAAAUAUCAGUGAUCAUGGUA
Homo sapiens (human) is the source of this 1062-nucleotide long non-coding RNA. Ensembl annotates it as long intergenic non-protein coding RNA 616. The record is from Ensembl. NCBI's taxonomy places the organism in Eukaryota, Metazoa, Chordata, Mammalia, Primates, Hominidae.